CUUGGUCAAAGCGGUAAGUUUUAGGAAUGCUUUAGAGAGUGAAACAAAGUUAGAGAGGCAGAGAGGUUUAGGGAGGGAAUUUCAGAGCUUGGGGCCGAGGCAACAAAGUCUCAGGAUAAGGGGGCAAUCAUUUAGGACUGAGAUAAGGAGAAAUUACUUCACUGAAAGGGUUGUGAAUUUUUAGAAUUCUCUAUUCCAGAAGUCUUUGGAUUCUCCAUUGUUGAAAAUAUUUAAGGCUGAUCUCACAAGGAAUUAAGGGAUUUAAGGGAGCAGGCAGGAAUUUGGAGUUGAAGCCCUAAAUCGGGCAUGAUCAUAUUAACAGGCAGAGCAGGCUUGACAGGCCAAAUGGUCUACUCCUGCUCCUAUUUUUUUGUUCUUGUUCUCGAAGGUUUGGCCACCAAUGGUGAAGUGCCCAAAAUAACACUAUAAAUAUUGCAUUGGUUUGACAAGAACUUCAUUCAGCAAAUGUUUAUCUUCCAUGUUAAUCCAGGACAACGAAAGGAUGUCCCAAAGCAUUUCACAGUAACAGACUUAAGGGAAGGCAAAGGAUACUUCAAGCUUGACUGUUGACAUUACUCAGAUACCCAACAAAUGAUGCCCAACAUCACUACAACAAAUUACAUAUGACUACAAAGCUAUUGGCAUGCUCUGAAGUUGCUACAGAUGCCUAGUUGGAUUUCCAAUACACACCAGCCAAGAUGUCCAGGAUGGUGAUGGUGUGCUGCUCUUUGCAUAUUACACAGCAGCAAGGUUUGAACCUGUAGUAAGGACAAUGCAAUGAGCUCCAAUCCACUUCAGAUGUUUCUGAGGAGGAGGAAGAUUGGGAGCAGGAAUUUUAUGGAGCCUGCAAGAACAAGAAAUGUGGUGGAAAUGUGAACUUAGUUAGGCAGGAGCUGAAAUUUCAAUUUCCUGACAUUGGGUUGAGAUGCAGAGUCAGUGGUGUGUUUGUGGUGUGGUGGGCCUCACAGGUCCUGUGGCGGGGUUCCUGCCUGUAAUAAAUCUACAUGCUCUGAAUACUCAUUUUAUUGAUUUUUUUUAUUAUGUCUUACUUUCAAGAUUAAGUUAGCUGCACACGAGAAUCUUGUGGCACACGGUUCAUGAUCAUUUACAGGUGGAGCGCAACAUUCAGCUUUGUGCACUUGUACUUGAGCACAGUUCAAUUGCUGUGUCUCAUUCACCAAUAUUCCUGCAACCUUGGGAACAGUAGGAGAGAAUGCACCAAAGGAGGGCUCUUGCCAGCCCAUAGAGGCCACAAUUCCUGCAGCAGGCAGCAGCAGAGGGGGAGGCUGGUCAGGAUGCAGCCAUCCAGGGAAGGCAUCAAAGGCAGAUACUAGCAUGUCAAUGCAUCCUCAGAACAAGAAUUAACUAACUGCAGAGAUCUGAGGCAAUGACUGAGGAUGUCCCAGAAGCUGGGAUCGUUUAGCAAGUCCUGCAGCCAUGUUGCUUUGGUGGGAACCCCAAGCCAAGGACUAUCCAUUGCAGACAUGAUUGAUGACACCAGUGAGGCUUCCCCAAAAUGCAGCAGCGAUACAAUCAAGCUCAUGCCUCCACCAGAGUCAUCAUCAAACACACCAUUGGCUCACUGAAAAUGUGCUUCUGCUGCCUUGAACAACUUAGAGGGGCUCUGCAGUAUGCAGCACAGAGAGUGUCAUGAGAGUGGUCUGCUGUGCACUGCUCAACCUGGCCAUUCUAUGUGGACACAACAGGAUGAGUGUGAGAAGCAUCACUCCUCCUCAAAGAGGAUUAAUUGUAUGAGCCUGAGGAGGAGACCAUGAAUCUGAAUUACCUUAUAAUGUAUGUCAGAACCAUCAAGAGACAUGCAAGGGAUACCGGGGACAACCUGAUCUAUACAUGGUUCGCCCAAGUGUGAGGCAGCUACAUGACCGUCUUCCCAUCAGGAGAACUCUUUUGCCUUCCUGUGAUGUAGACCUACCCGCUCAUCCUCCCUUGCAUCCUCCACUCCCCAUCUGUAAACCUGCAUCCUCUGCCAUCUAGAACAGGCUACCUAGAAAAGUUCGACCCCGGAAUACUGACAUCUGUGCCAAAAACUGUCAGCCUAUCAUGACCCUGCUCCAUCUUUAAAGUGCUUUGAAUGCACCUAUACCAUCUCAGUUAUACCUGUUGAGAGUAAUCUGGACAAAUCUACUUUAGAGUGCAGGGGGAAUCACUGAGUCUGGAUCUUGUGCAUUUCCUACAAACUGGUGGGUACAAAAUUGGAAACUUACAUUCAAUAAACAUUGCACAGAAACACAAAACAUCUUCCUAAUAAAGGCAA
Long non-coding RNA from Carcharodon carcharias (great white shark), 2275 nucleotides. RefSeq lists it as uncharacterized. The transcript is spliced from 3 exons. Lineage: Eukaryota; Metazoa; Chordata; Chondrichthyes; Lamniformes; Lamnidae. The record is from RefSeq and is a predicted model, not a curated record.